ACAAACAACUCAAUAAAAGUCUCGUAAACUGAAUCCAAGAACACAUCAAAAUGAUCAUUCAUCAUGAUCAAGUAGGCUUCAUCCCAGGGAUGCAGGGAUGGUUCAAUAUAUGGAAAUCCAUCGACAUAAUCCACUAUACAUGGACUGACCCAUGGCUCCAGCUACAUAUGUAACAGAGAAUGGCCUUGUUGGGCACCGAUAGAAGGAGAAGCCCUUGUUCCUGCCAAGGAUGACACAGCAAGAAGCCCCUUAUUAAAUGUCAAGCCCUUGAUCUCCCAUUUUCCAGCUUCCAAUAAGACAAGAGUAAAAUUAAAGUAGAAACUACUUACCACAAUUUUUCAGUUAGUCUCAGGUAAGAAAUCCUGUAAGACACUUGUGGGGGAAACUCAUAAUGUGCACUCCCAUUUCCCUACUAGAAGCAUCUUUAAGAACACGCUGUCACAGAAACCCAGCCAACUCUCAUCCCUACAGCUAUACAAGAAAUAUUAGUGCCUGGUGGCUCUAGACAAAAAUAAAAAUAAAUUUCAGAUAUUACUCCGAAAUAUCUGUCAAAAAAACCUCACCUAAAGACAAGAGAGGUAAACUUUAACUACACAGAAAAGUCACAGAGCACUGAGAAUAUGCACUAUGGAACCAGUUAACAAAAUGCCAAAUGAUCCAAUUGUUUAAAAAAAAGCCUGUUUCCAAAUUUAUUACAUGUAUAGAUGGACGUCACUUAGGAGAAUUAUGCUGCUUUCUGCUCCUUCCUAGAAGUUUGGUUAGCCAAAAUGUUUGUGGUCUCACUUGCUUUUUGUUAGUUGUUUACGGUUCAAGUGAAGUAGAAGAGAAACUAGAACUUGGUGAUUUAUGAGGUGUUUCUCAAACUGUCUUAACAUAUAUUUGAUGGUGCACAGUUUUUAAAUUAUAAAGAGUGAGCUAUAGUAUUCCUUAACCCUGCAUAUCCUCUGAACUCAUCUACAGGGGGGAAAUGGCUACUCCUAGUAGUUCAAACAGAGAGCCCAUUUGAUGAGAACUUAGUGAUGGUUCCCAGUAUCAGCAUAUUCUCCAAGCGAUGCCUUAAUGGGAAGAAUUAGAAAUAGAUGAGGGACGGAGAGUCCGAAACUACCUUUGAGUCAACCAAAUUCCCUGGGCCCAGAAAGAAUGAAUAGCUUCCCUGCAAUUGUUUAAAAUACAAGAGUUUGCUCUCCUUCCUGUAUAGUUAGCAUCUUUCCCAUAUCCUGUAUAAUUAAUUUCUUUUUGCUCUAUAUAUCACAAUAUAGGAAGGGCAGCACACCCCCACAUAGGUUCAACAUCCUGAACUCCAGUGACUAAAACUCUGUUGGAUUAUCAGCUAGACCAGA
Rattus norvegicus (Norway rat) is the source of this 1340-nucleotide non-coding RNA. The record is from RefSeq and is a predicted model, not a curated record. Lineage: Eukaryota; Metazoa; Chordata; Mammalia; Rodentia; Muridae.